GAAUUUUUGGCAAUGAGCGAAAGCUUGACCAAGCAACGUCGCGUGGGUGAUGAAGUAUCUUGGUACGUAAAACCCUUUCGGCAGGAACGAACCUAAUGACGGUACCUGCAGAAGCAGCCCCGGCUAACUCCGUGCCAGCAGCCGCGGUAAUACGGGGGGGGCAAGCGUUGUUCGGAAUUACCGGGCGUAAAGGGCGCGUAGGCGGUUGGAGAAGUCAGCUGUGAAAACCAUGGGCUCAACCCAUGGCCUGCAGUUGAAACUGUCCGGCUAGAGUGUGGGAGAGGGAAGUGGAAUUCCUGGUGUAGCGGUGAAAUGCGUAGAUAUCAGGAGGAACACCGGUGGCGAAGGCGGCUUCCUGGACCACAACUGACGCUGAGGCGCGAAAGCUAGGGGAGCAAACAGG
This 403-nucleotide ribosomal RNA is filed under the name uncultured bacterium. Its description in RNAcentral is "bacterial SSU rRNA". It matches the Rfam family "Bacterial small subunit ribosomal RNA", at positions 359 to 776 of the family's 1533-position model. The record is from RNAcentral.